UACGUAGGGUGCAAGCGUUGUCCGGAAUUAUUGGGCGUAAAGAGCUCGUAGGCGGUCUGUCGCGUCUGCUGUGAAAACUCAGGGCUUAACCCUGAGCUUGCAGUGGGUACGGGCAGACUAGAGUGCGGUAGGGGAGACUGGAAUUCUUGGUGUAGCGGUGAAAUGCGUAGAUAUCAAGAGGAACACCUGAGGUGAAGACGGGUUGCUGGGCCGACACUGACGCUGAGUGCGCGAAAGCCAGGGGAGCAAACGGG
Molecule: ribosomal RNA, 254 nt
Filed under: uncultured bacterium
Lineage: Bacteria
Description: partial 16S ribosomal RNA
Rfam family: Bacterial small subunit ribosomal RNA
Source: RNAcentral